Molecule: ribosomal RNA, 218 nt
Filed under: uncultured bacterium
Lineage: Bacteria
Description: partial 16S ribosomal RNA
Rfam family: Bacterial small subunit ribosomal RNA
Source: RNAcentral
AAACCUGCCUCAUGGACUGGGACAACUAUUGGAAACGAUAGCUAAUACCGGAUAACAGUAUUUCUCGCAUGAGAGAUAUUUAAAAGUUGGUUAUGCUAACACUAUGAGAUGGCUUUGCGGUGCAUUAGCUAGUUGGUGGGGUAAAGGCCUACCAAGGCGACGAUGCAUAGCCGACCUGAGAGGGUGAUCGGCCACACUGGGACUGAGACACGGCCCAG